AGAGUUUGAUCCUGGCUCAGAUUGAACGCUGGCGGCAGGCCUAACACAUGCAAGUCGAGCGGUAGAGAGAAGCUUGCUUCUCUUGAGAGCGGCGGACGGGUGAGUAAUGCCUAGGAAUCUGCCUGGUAGUGGGGGAUAACGUUCGGAAACGGACGCUAAUACCGCAUACGUCCUACGGGAGAAAGCAGGGGACCUUCGGGCCUUGCGCUAUCAGAUGAGCCUAGGUCGGAUUAGCUAGUUGGUGGGGUAAUGGCUCACCAAGGCGACGAUCCGUAACUGGUCUGAGAGGAUGAUCAGUCACACUGGAACUGAGACACGGUCCAGACUCCUACGGGAGGCAGCAGUGGGGAAUAUUGGACAAUGGGCGAAAGCCUGAUCCAGCCAUGCCGCGUGUGUGAAGAAGGUCUUCGGAUUGUAAAGCACUUUAAGUUGGGAGGAAGGGCAGUAAAUUAAUACUUUGCUGUUUUGACGUUACCGACAGAAUAAGCACCGGCUAACUCUGUGCCAGCAGCCGCGGUAAUACAGAGGGUGCAAGCGUUAAUCGGAAUUAC
This 551-nucleotide ribosomal RNA is filed under the name uncultured bacterium. RNAcentral describes it as "bacterial SSU rRNA". It matches the Rfam family "Bacterial small subunit ribosomal RNA", at positions 8 to 554 of the family's 1533-position model. The record is from RNAcentral.